Molecule: small RNA, 559 nt
Filed under: Pongo abelii (Sumatran orangutan)
Lineage: Eukaryota; Metazoa; Chordata; Mammalia; Primates; Hominidae
Description: retained intron
Source: RNAcentral
UAUAAAUUAUACAGAGAGAAUAUCAAGAGAAAAAAUUGGAGGGUCUCAUAUAAUCCACUAAAAUGUGGGAAGAACAGAUCUUUCCUCUUUUAUGUAUACAAAGAGUCUGAUUUUACCCUUAAUCAGAUGACUACUCACCGUUUCCUAGGUCUGGAUACACAGCAAGGAGUAGGCAUUCACUGAUCAUAUUUCUUGUUUGCCUUUAGGGAAUGAUGACAACAAUCUCAAUUCCAUUUUUUAUGAACACUUGACAAGGACCCUCCAGGAGUCCCUCUGUGGAGACUUAGUUCUUGGUCGUUGGGGCAACUACAGCUCUGGCGAUUGCUUUAUUUUGGCUUCAGAUGAUCUCAAUGCCUUUGUUCACCUGAUUGAAAUUGGAAAUGGUCUCGUCACCUUUCAACUUCGAGGACUGGAAUUCCGAGGAACCUACUGCCAGCAGAGGGAGGUAGAAGCCAUCAUGGAGGGCGACGAGGAGGACAGAGGCUGCUGCUGCUGCAAACCAGGCCACUUGCCUCACCUGCUGUCCUGCAACGCUGCCUUUCACCUCCGCUGGCUCACC